AACAAAAUUGACAUGAAAUUGACAACGUCGUCAUAAGUAAAAUAGCGAUAAACAGAUUAUCAUUGGUCAUCUCAACUUGAUUGCCUUUCUCGCUUUCGCCGUCUUGGCUGAAGCGAGAAAAUCAAUCUCGUUGAGAUGAUCAACGAUAAUCUAUAAUUAUAUGCAGAGAAAACGAAUCUCGACUUCAGCAGUGUUGACAAAUUCAUAGACAACGGAAAAUACUUUCUUCCAGCCUGCGACCACAGUUGCUGAACAGAUACAUGUUUUGUCUCUGUUUCAUCAUCAGCUUUAAGAUUCAAUCUGUUGUGGACACGUUUUUAUAAAUCAAUAUUUUUUUUAACCCUUAAUAAAAUUUCACUUAUCUUAGACAAAAAAAUAGUUUUUCAUUGUUUUGUAUUUUCUUGGUUAUUGGUUUAUUU
This 419-nucleotide long non-coding RNA is filed under the name Mytilus galloprovincialis (Mediterranean mussel). The record is from RNAcentral. Lineage: Eukaryota; Metazoa; Mollusca; Bivalvia; Mytilida; Mytilidae.